This 76-nucleotide transfer RNA is filed under the name Isoptericola jiangsuensis. RNAcentral's name for it is "tRNA-Gly". It matches the Rfam family "tRNA". Rfam says of the family: Transfer RNA (tRNA) molecules are approximately 80 nucleotides in length. Their secondary structure includes four short double-helical elements and three loops (D, anti-codon, and T loops). Further hydrogen bonds mediate the characteristic L-shaped molecular structure. tRNAs have two regions of fundamental functional importance: the anti-codon, which is responsible for specific mRNA codon recognition, and the 3' end, to which the tRNAs corresponding amino acid is attached (by aminoacyl-tRNA synthetases). tRNAs cope with the degeneracy of the genetic code in two manners: having more than one tRNA (with a specific anti-codon) for a particular amino acid; and 'wobble' base-pairing, i.e. permitting non-standard base-pairing at the 3rd anti-codon position. RNAcentral also lists the same sequence under 5 other names. Lineage: Bacteria; Bacillati; Actinomycetota; Actinomycetes; Micrococcales; Promicromonosporaceae. The record is from RNAcentral.
GCGGAUGUAGCUCAGUUGGUAGAGCACCACCUUGCCAAGGUGGAUGUCGCGAGUUCGAGUCUCGUCAUCCGCUCCA